This 769-nucleotide long non-coding RNA is filed under the name Carica papaya (papaya). Its description in RNAcentral is "long non-coding RNA (CPAP_LNC010197)". The record is from RNAcentral. Lineage: Eukaryota; Viridiplantae; Streptophyta; Magnoliopsida; Brassicales; Caricaceae.
GAGUGAAAUGGGUGAGGAAGAGUGGGGGGAGGAGGUCCCUGUUUAUAAAGGAAGAGAACUGUUGAAUUGGCAACAAGUGUUGCAAAUCCAUGAGGAGACAUAAAAUAAAGACGUCAUCAUGACAUCAUUAGUGUCAAUCAGUCAAGGGGAGGUAUGACUCCCGAGGCAACGGUGGGGGAAGCAGCGAUGGCAGCGUAGGGCUUGAGGCAGUAGCGAUAUGAGGCUUGAGGCGAUGGAGAUGUAGGGCUCGAGGAGGCGACGACAACAUAGGGCAGUGGUAGAGCAUGGUAUGAGGCUCAAUGCUGGGCUUGGUAGGCAUGUAGCUAGUUGGCGCGCUUGGACGGCAUGCUAACUCGUGCGGUGGGCUAUUCUCGUGCGUGUACCAGCGUCUUGUGCCUAUCGCAUCACAUAAGCGUACAUUGAGCCAUGUGCCUGACGGAUGCAUCUAUGCUCGAGAUUCAUGCAUAUACUGUGCGCGGUGUAACGCCCAGGCAGAUGGGUCAUGCACUUGUGUCUUGCACCUAUCGCAUCACACAGGCGUGCAUGGAGCCAUGCUCCUGACAAAUGCGUCUAUGCUCGGGAUUCACACGUAGACUACGUGCAGUACGACGCCCAUGCGGAUUGGUCGUGCUCAUUGCGUCCAUUUGGUCAUAUGUGUGUGCGUGCGAGCGCAAAGCCCGCAAGGCACUCCUGCACGGGCAUACGGGCAGGCCCAUGCAGGUUAGGGGGUUUUCCCAUAGUAAUUUUUUUCCAAUUUUUUUCCUCUUCU